RNAcentral lists this long non-coding RNA (891 nucleotides) under Chinchilla lanigera (long-tailed chinchilla). Its description in RNAcentral is "lncRNA (ENSCLAG00000022352.1)". The record is from RNAcentral. Lineage: Eukaryota; Metazoa; Chordata; Mammalia; Rodentia; Chinchillidae.
GUGCAGGGCAGCUGGACCGCCACAGUUGUCAUGCCAGUGAUUAUAUGAUGGGGUGGGGCGAUCCAAGCUGUUUUAACUGACCAUAGUCAAAUCUUUGGGAAAAACGGUGGGGAUAAAACCAGAGAAUCUUUGUGUUCAUCACAGCUAACUGGGAUUCAGAAAGGUGUGGACAUUAAAAAUAGGCUAAUUGCCCCCUCCCUGAUGUCAGCCACAUUAAGGUGUUUCCGAAGAUACAUUUUUCAAAGAGGACGAAGCAGUCCCUGAAGAGUGGCAGGAGUGGGAGAAGGAUGCCACCACCAACAGUGGGGCUGCAGUCAUCUGGCGGGACUGGAGGAAGGAGAAGCAGACGUGGAAACUUCUUUCCCAGACACCCUUGAAGCUGUGUGACACAGUCCCAUUUUUUGUUUUUUAUGUCUCUUCUCCCAUGACUGAAGAUAAAAUGGCCAUUUUUUGACCAGAAGGAAGCACUAAGAGAAGCACAGACCUUGGCCCGACUAACUCAAGUAACCACCCUGCUCUGGAUUUCCUGUUGUACGAGAGAAUGAACAAACAAACAAAAAUCCUGUUUAUGUUAGCUCCUGCGUAUUUGCUUUUGUUUUUGGUACUGGGAAUCGAAAUCAGGACCUUGCACUUGCCAGACAGGUGCUUGUGCCACUGAGCUAUAUCCCCGGCUGUGUUAGCUCCUGUUUGUCAAAUUUUCUUUUAUGGCUAAAUGCUAUUACUGAUUGAUAUACUGAUGUCCUAUCUUGUCAAUAAUUUUAUCUUUUAAUACAGAACCAUCAGCAUUGUAUCAGUUCUUAUCUAUAAAUACCUGCCAGAUUUUGGAUAUUGCUUGAGAGUAAAGCUCAAUUUAAUUUUAUUUUUGACAAGAUUUCUUUGCUUUGUAUCCCU